This 444-nucleotide ribosomal RNA is filed under the name Roseovarius sp. M1S-127. RNAcentral describes it as "bacterial SSU rRNA". It matches the Rfam family "Bacterial small subunit ribosomal RNA", at positions 1 to 477 of the family's 1533-position model. Lineage: Bacteria; Pseudomonadati; Pseudomonadota; Alphaproteobacteria; Rhodobacterales; Roseobacteraceae. The record is from RNAcentral.
UUUUAGAGUUUGAUCCAUGGCUCAGAACGAACGCUGGCGGCAGGCCUAACACAUGCAAGUCGAGCGAGACCUUCGGGUCUAGCGGCGGACGGGUGAGUAACGCGUGGGAACGUACCCUCUUCUGCGGAAUAGCCACUGGAAACGGUGAGUAAUACCGCAUACGCCCUUCGGGGGAAAGAUUUAUCGGAGGAGGAUCGGCCCGCGUUGGAUUAGGUAGUUGGUGGGGUAAUGGCCUACCGAGCCUACGAUCCAUAGCUGGUUUUAGAGGAUGAUCAGCCACACUGGGACUGAGACACGGCCCAGACUCCUACGGGAGGCAGCAGUGGGGAAUCUUAGACAAUGGGCGCAAGCCUGAUCUAGCCAUGCCGCGUGUGUGAUGAAGGCCUUAGGGUAAUAAAGCACUUUCGCCUGUGAUGAUAAAACAGAGCAGGAAAGAACCCCGCA